GAUGAACGCUGGCGGCGUGCCUAACACAUGCAAGUCGAGCGGAAAGACGAGGAGCUUGCUCCUCUGACGUUAGCGGCGGACGGGUGAGUAACACGUGGAUAACCUACCUAUAAGACGGGGAUAACCUCGGGAAACCGGAUCAUAUAGCGGAUGAUAUACUGAACCGCAGGGGUCAAUGGUGAGAGUCGGCUUUGGUGGCUCUACUAGAUGGAUACGAGCUGGCUUAGCUGGUUGGUAGGGUAACGGGUUACCAAGGCGAGUAUGCGUAGCCGAGCGGAGGGGGUGGUCGCCCGCCCGGGAACUGGGCCACGGUCCAGGCGCCUACGGGAGGCCGCAGUCGCGAAUCUUACGCAAAGGGCGGAAGCCUGACGGAGCAACGCCGCGUGUGUGAUGGAGGUCUUCGGUUCGUAAAACUCUGUUACUGGGGAAAAACAACUGUGUACGUAACUAUGCCCUUCUUGACGGUACCUAAUCAGAAAGCCACGGCUAACUACGUG
RNAcentral lists this ribosomal RNA (497 nucleotides) under uncultured bacterium. RNAcentral's name for it is "partial 16S ribosomal RNA". It matches the Rfam family "Bacterial small subunit ribosomal RNA", at positions 28 to 507 of the family's 1533-position model. The record is from RNAcentral.